This 24-nucleotide non-coding RNA is filed under the name Arabidopsis thaliana (thale cress). The record is from RNAcentral. Lineage: Eukaryota; Viridiplantae; Streptophyta; Magnoliopsida; Brassicales; Brassicaceae.
UAACGACGAUAGUACGGAUCCGUA